GACGAACGCUGGCGGCGCGCUUAACACAUGCAAGUCGAACGGAAAGGCCCCCGCUUGAGGGGGUGCUCGAGUGGCGAACGGGUGAGUAACACGGGGGUGAGCUGCCCCUGACUUUGGGCUAAGCCAGGGAAACUGGGUCUAAUACCGGGUAUGACCUCUUGCUGUCUGGAGGGGGGUGGAAAGGUGUUGUGGUUGGGGAUGGGCCCGCGGCCUAUCAGCUUGUUGGUGGGGUAAUGGCCUACCAAGGCGACGACGGGUAGCCGACCUGAGAGGGUGAUCGGCCACACUGGGACUGAGACACGGCCCAGACUCCUACGGGAGGCAGCAGUGGGGAAUAUUGCAAAAUGGGCGCAAGCCUGAUGCAGCGACGCCGCGUGAGGGAUGACGGCCUUCGGGUUGUAAACCUCUUUCACCAUCGACGAAGCCUUUCGGGGUGACGGUAGGUGGAGAAGAAGCACCGGCCAACUACGUGCCAGCCGCCGCGGUAA
RNAcentral lists this ribosomal RNA (488 nucleotides) under uncultured bacterium. Its description in RNAcentral is "partial 16S ribosomal RNA". It matches the Rfam family "Bacterial small subunit ribosomal RNA", at positions 28 to 523 of the family's 1533-position model. The record is from RNAcentral.